Long non-coding RNA from Populus trichocarpa (black cottonwood), 495 nucleotides. RefSeq lists it as uncharacterized. The record is from RefSeq and is a predicted model, not a curated record. The transcript is spliced from 3 exons. NCBI's taxonomy places the organism in Eukaryota, Viridiplantae, Streptophyta, Magnoliopsida, Malpighiales, Salicaceae.
AAGAGAAAAUAGAAGAAGAGAGCUGUGUUUUAAGAGUGAAAACUGACGGGAGAAGAGAAGAAAAAGGGGAGGAAGAAGAAGAGAAAAGAGGGAAAGAUAAGGAAAAGAGAAGAGAAUUGGAGGAAAUAAGUUUAAAGGUUCUCCUAACGAUCCUCAAUAGGAUUUUCGGGUCUUUCGUCUGACAUUCCUUUUAGUUCUAUAUUUUCCGGGUUCUUAGUUUCUGAUAGCAGGUGAACCUUGUUGAGUGUUCCUGCUUCUUCAGUUUUUGGUCAGUAUGCCUUGCUUAUCUUUCAAGGCUGUUUGAUUCGAUGUCUUAGGCGCUCCACUAUUACCUUGUUUUGAUUAAGUUUGGAUUUUGACAAUGUAAUGAGUAUUAUGGAUUAUUGUUUUUGUUUUAAUUACUGAUGAAGAGUUUUAAACUAUCUUUUGGUUUCAUCAGUUUUGAAUAAUAUAAGAUUUCUGAAGAUUAUGAAAUGCUGCGUAUUUUUGAAUAAA